RNAcentral lists this ribosomal RNA (346 nucleotides) under uncultured bacterium. RNAcentral's name for it is "partial 16S ribosomal RNA". It matches the Rfam family "Bacterial small subunit ribosomal RNA", at positions 338 to 681 of the family's 1533-position model. The record is from RNAcentral.
CCUACGUGUGGCAGCAGUGAGGAAUAUUGGUCAAUGGACGAGAGUCUGAACCAGCCAAGUAGCGUGAAGGAUGACUGCCCUAUGGGUUGUAAACUUCUUUUAUAUGGGAAUAAAAUGUUCCACGUGUGGUAUUUUGUAUGUACCAUAUGAAUAAGGAUCGGCCAACUCCGUGUCAGCAGCCGCGGUAAUACGGAGGAUCCGAGCGUUAUCCUGAUUUAUUGGGUUUAAAGGGAGCGUAGGUGGAUUGUUAAGUCAGUUGUGAAAGUUUGCGGCUCAACCGUAAAAUUGCAGUUGAAACUGGCAGUCUUGAGUACAGUAGAGGUGGGCGGAAUUCGUGGUGUAGCGG